CCACUUUUCAAACUCCAGAUUUGAUGAAAUUUUUACCUAACAUUCUACACUCAUAGGGGAUUCCAAAGAGGUAACAUGCAUUGCUAUCGGAGGUCGUUUGACCCCCUAAAUAAUUCGCCGAAGUUGAAACUUCGACACAGUUUUUUUCGUAGUGCUGGAAAAAUUUGUCAAAAUCCGAUUCUUCCUCUUUUAACCGCCUCUACAACCCUUAUCCGACCCCUCUAGACUAUAUCCACCCUUUGUAUAGCCUAAUGUCAUCAAAAGACUAGAUAGGGAUGGAUAUUUACCUUUUUCUUUUUUGGAAAUCGAGGUUCUUGCGUAGAGGAGAAGGAGAUCUACACUUUUCCCUUCAGCUGGCAACGCAACCGGGAUCUCCUUCCUUUCCCUUUUCUUCUUUUUCUU
Molecule: long non-coding RNA, 402 nt
Filed under: Phoenix dactylifera (date palm)
Lineage: Eukaryota; Viridiplantae; Streptophyta; Magnoliopsida; Arecales; Arecaceae
Description: long non-coding RNA (PDAC_LNC009460)
Source: RNAcentral